Molecule: long non-coding RNA, 1447 nt
Organism: Octopus bimaculoides (California two-spot octopus)
Lineage: Eukaryota; Metazoa; Mollusca; Cephalopoda; Octopoda; Octopodidae
Source: RefSeq, a predicted model, not a curated record
UAUUGCCUAGUUCAGAAAGCACAUGACAAAUAUACUGAAUCUGAUGAGAAUCUAAUAAGACUCAACAUCAUGACAGUCAAAUCCUUAUUCAUGUAUUUUCGUUAACUUGGGUUCCAGCCCAAAACAAUUUUUCACAGUAGGACUACAUAUAUUUUAUGUAUGUAUUGAAUUGUGUACAGAUAAAUUACCUUGCAGAAGUUUGUUUAUAAAUUAUUAAAAAAAAAAAACACGAGUGAUGGCUCCACGUAAAAAGCACUGAUAUUGAUGUCACGUAAAAAAGCGCUGAUAUUGAUGUCACGUAAAAAAGCGCUGAUGAUGGUGCCACAAAAAAAAAAAAGCACCCAGUACACUGUGAAGUGGUUGACGUUAGGAAGGGCAGCCAGUCGAAGAAACCAUGUCAGAACAGACAAUGGAGCCUGGUGCGGCCCCACGGCCUUGCCAGCUCCUGCCAAACCGUCCAAUCCAUGCUAGCAUGGAAAACGGACGUUAAAUGAUGAUGACGACGACGACGACAGCAAUGAUAAUGAUUACUGUUUCAAGCCUACUGUGAGUUCCAGCUGCAAAUUUGACUAUCUUCAUGCUGUUCUAAAUUUUGACAUCUCUCCAAGACGUCUCUACACCUCAGAUGAACUUGCUAAAGUUAUCAAAACGUUCUACUUCCAUUUUUAAAUAACAGCUGUGUCCCAAGUACAAGGAUUGGCAAAUCUACUAUAAUACAUAUUUUUCAAAAAAACAUGUGACAAAAGAUGAUUUCAACAAUCAAUAAACAUCCCAAACAAAUACAAUUUUAAACAUUGCACAGGUGAUACUUCUCCACAGAACCCAAGAAACACAGUUUCAUUUAUCAACUCAACUAGUCACCACCAGAGACCAGCUGACAACACAAUAAACCACUCAAAUGACAAGUAUAAUACAUGAAGUAAUUUAUAUUCUCAUAUUACAAUUACAAAUGUUAUAAUAUUGGAAAUUGGCAGAACCAAAGUUCAAAACAUACACUUCUUUAAACAAAAUGCAAUUAUAUAAAAUAAGAUGAUAGAACAAUAUUCCAAAUUUAUAAUUUUAAAAACAAGAAAAUCUUUGAAACUAAAGCUCUGUUUUUAAACAAAUUACAAACUGGAGGAAAACAUCAGUCAUACAGCAUGCCCACAAACUAAACAAGGCAAAAAUAUCUCAUCUACAUACCUACCUGUUAUUAGCUGCUAACCAACUUUCAAACUUAAUGAAAAGGUCAUUGUGGAAAGAUAGGAUGGAAGUAGUUGCAGAUAAACUCAUGUAUGUAAACCGAAACAGAAAGAGUAGAAAAUUGAAACCAAAACCUAAGUUGUUAAUUUACAUAAAUAUUUGCAAAAUUUGUAGGCUUUAUUAAUGACUCUUCCCAAAUAAAACAAUUUGUAAAAUGACAACAGUUAACAUUUGCUCUUAUUUUUUUAAUAUUGUCAUUCUAUUC